This 459-nucleotide ribosomal RNA is filed under the name uncultured bacterium. RNAcentral's name for it is "partial 16S ribosomal RNA". It matches the Rfam family "Bacterial small subunit ribosomal RNA", at positions 338 to 795 of the family's 1533-position model. The record is from RNAcentral.
CCUACGGGGUGCAGCAGUGAGGAAUAUUGGUCAAUGGCCGGAAGGCUGAACCAGCCAAGCCGCGUGAAGGAAGAAGGUGCCAAGCAUUAUAAGCUUCUUUUGUCAGGGGACAAAAUCAGGCUCGAGAGCCUGACCGCGGGUACUUGAAGAAAACACAUCGGCUAACUCCGUGCCAGCAGCCGCGGUAAUACGGAGGAUGCGAGCGUUAUCCGGAUUUAUUGGGGUUAAAGGGUGCGUAGGCGGACUGUUAAGUCAGCGGUAAAAGCCCGGGGCUCAACCCCGGAGAGCCGUGGAAACUGGCUGGCUGGAGAGGUGGAGAGGUAUGUGGAAUGCGCAGUGUAGCGGUGAAAUGCGUAGAUAUUGCGCAGAACUCCGAUGGCGAAGGCAGCAUACCGGCGGCGAUCUGACGCUGAGGCACGAAAGCGUGGGUAUCGAACAGGAUUAGAUACCCCGGUAGUC